GAAUGCACAGAAUUUUAGAAGGAAAUGAAAUAUCCAUGCAGGUGGCAAUCAUUGCAAAUUGCUCUGUGGCUUAUCUUAUAAAAGUUCGCCAUCAGAUUGGACGAAAUCGUGGGGUUGUGCAGGUUGCUAAUAAUCGGAAAGUUUCAAAUAACAAGGUCGCUCAUAGCAACAUAUUAAACACAUGAUAUUGGUUGUUCAGUGAGUUCGAGUUUGAUGGCUGACGCAAUCGAGGAUUCAAACGCGAGCAGAUAAUACGUGAAAUCGUGCAGUAGGGAAGCUAGUUGAUUUGUAAACACCAAAUUCAAUAAUUGCGUACAGUCGCUUCCCGACAGCAUCCUAAAGAUCCCUCGGAUGCCUUCAAUACACUUUCGUAACCCCAACUGUCAAAAAGUUACUACUGAAUCGUUAUCAGACGGAGUAUUUGAAUAAGUUUUGUAAUGACUCCGAGGCAGUACUCUACGGGCAUCGACAGUUUCCAGAACAUGUUUGGCUACAGCAAAGACCCGUCGGUUCAUCUUCUUUUCGCGUAGAUGAAGUACCCCGAGGGACAUACCUCAGACCACCAUACGCUUCGCGAUUAACGUAUUAUGAUGAAAUGAACGACAGAAAAAUUACCAGGGCACCAAGAUGUCACACAACGCAACCCAAAAAACCGGACAAGUGCACACAAUUAAGUCGGCCAAAAAGCGAAGAAGGUCGGACUAUAGAAGAUAGCCACCAAAGAAGGAAACAAGACAUCGACAAAAUGACUUUGCAAAAAUAUCGUGAAACAAGCCACGAGAACAUGAUUGGUCCACGCGUCUUCUUCCAUCCAACAAUUCCUCCACCCCGUCGCGAUUACGUUAUUCAUCCCGCGUUUCAUUCCGAAGCAAAAAAACGCCCGCGCAAUGUACCGGUCAGGAAACAUCCAGUCAGCGGGAAAGAAAAAGAUCGCAAGUUUGAUAUCAGGAAAAACAGAAUACUACCAAUUGAAAAAUAGACUGGAAUACAGAUUUGACUAAAUGAGUACGAGGUGCAAUCAUCACAAAAACUAUACUCCACUGAAUGCUAAGUUCUUUGUUUCAAAAAGUUCUUCCUGGAAAGGAAAAAAGCUACAAUUUAAUGUUUAAAUUUAAAACUGACAUAAAACUGAUUCAAAGAGAACGAAGUUUGAUUAAUUAUGAAGACCUUACCUGUCACUACCAUUCCUUCUUCUAUGUCUCGGUUUCUUUGAAGAAAUUUCAAUAAAACUUUUCUAUCCAA
Molecule: long non-coding RNA, 1242 nt
Organism: Xenia sp. Carnegie-2017
Lineage: Eukaryota; Metazoa; Cnidaria; Anthozoa; Malacalcyonacea; Xeniidae
Exons: 2
Source: RefSeq, a predicted model, not a curated record